This 837-nucleotide ribosomal RNA is filed under the name uncultured archaeon. RNAcentral's name for it is "bacterial SSU rRNA". It matches the Rfam family "Archaeal small subunit ribosomal RNA", at positions 85 to 923 of the family's 1478-position model. The record is from RNAcentral.
ACUGCUCAGUAACACGUGGACAACCUGCCCUUAGGUUGGGUAUAAACCCGGGAAACUGGGUAUAAUACCCGAUAGGUCUCGAUUGCUGGAAUGCAUCGAGAUUUAAAGCUCCGGCGCCUAAGGAUGGGUCUGCGGCCUAUCAGGUAGUAGUGGGUGUAGCGUACCUACUAGCCUACGACGGGUACGGGUUGUGAGAGCAAGAGCCCGGAGAUGGAUUCUGAGACACGAAUCCAGGCCCUACGGGGUGCAGCAGGCGCGAAAACUUUACAAUGCUGGCAACAGCGAUAAGGGAACCUCGAGUGCCAGGUUACAAAUCUGGCUGUCGAGAUGCCUAAAAAGCAUUUCAUAGCAAGGGCCGGGCAAGACCGGUGCCAGCCGCCGCGGUAACACCGGCGGCUCGAGUGGUAACCGUUAUUAUUGGGUCUAAAGGGUCUGUAGCCGGCCGGAUAAGUCUCUUGAGAAAUCUGGCAGCUUAACUGUCAGGCUUUCAGGAGAUACUGUUCGGCUCGAGGCCGGGAGAGGUGAGAGGUACUUCAGGGGUAGGGGUGAAAUCUUGUAAUCCUUGAAGGACCACCAGUGGCGAAGGCGUCUCACCAGAACGGACCUGACGGCAAGGGACGAAAGCUAGGGGCACGAACCGGAUUAGAUACCCGGGUAGUCCUAGCCGUAAACGAUACUCGCUGGGUGUCGGCCACGGUGCGACCGUUGUCGGUGCCGUAGGGAAGCCGUGAAGCGAGCCACCUGGGAAGUACGGCCGCAAGGCUGAAACUUAAAGGAAUUGGCGGGGGAGCACCACAACGGGUGGAGCUUGCGGUUUAAUUGGAUUCAACGCCCGGG